AGCCCCCGCGGGUUGGGAGAAGACCAACCACCCGGGGACACUGGGCGCGAUAUAUUUGUCUCCACCCCCGGCGCCGUACUCACUGCUCCAAUUGACGACGGUGUUUGGGGUGGCCAUAGGGGAUGGCUAGAUCCCAAUCACGCCACGAGUGCCCUUCGUGUGGUGGCGGUGGUAGAGAAACGGUAGUGGCCGGUGAUGAAACGGUACCGGCCGUGGCCGAGCUCGAGAAGUUGGGUUCCUCUUCCACCGUCACUACUCACUCCACUACUGACUACUGUGUUCAACGUCGGCGGUCGUUGUCUUUAUUGGCUUCAGGUAGAACAAGGGGCCGUUAAGACCGGUUCACUAUAGGGUCCCAUAAAGGUUCCUCCCGUGUAGACACACGUCCAGGAAAAACAAUAAAUGGAGCGAGCGUCGCUUGCCGUUGUGGGCCCUGAGACUUAGGGAGCAAAAAUGAGUCGGAGUCGUUAUCGUGGAUGUCCGUCCGACCACGGCCGCGUCUUAUCCAUCGUGCUGCUUCGAUGAACAAGCGCGUUCGGAUCUCUGCUGUUACUCUUUUUGUUUCAGACCCGACAUCGUAUGACACAAAACACGAACAAUAACAUUUAGAUGUUCGCACAGGCAGACUUAAUUCACACGUACUCAUAGUUUACCUGUUUGUUCCGUUCAUUGACCACGUUUUUACGACUUAAACCAGUCCG
This 701-nucleotide ribosomal RNA is filed under the name Triticum aestivum (bread wheat). Its description in RNAcentral is "partial small subunit ribosomal RNA". The record is from RNAcentral. Lineage: Eukaryota; Viridiplantae; Streptophyta; Magnoliopsida; Poales; Poaceae.